RNAcentral lists this ribosomal RNA (685 nucleotides) under uncultured fungus. RNAcentral describes it as "eukaryotic LSU rRNA". The stretch from base 233 to 386 matches the Rfam family "5.8S ribosomal RNA". The record is from RNAcentral. Lineage: Eukaryota; Fungi.
CUUGGUCAUUUAGAGGAAGUAAAAGUCGUAACAAGGUUUCCGUAGGUGAACCAGCGGAAGGAUCAUUAGUGAAUUGAAUAUGUUAGCGGACCUCUUCGGAGUCCCUAGCAUCAAAUCAUAUCCAUAACACCUGUGAACUGUAAGGCUGUCUUGAAAACGAAAGUGAUUAGAGCGCCUGCCCAUUUUAUACAAACAUUAAAGUAACAAACGUAGUCUUAUUAUAAUCUAAUAAAACUUUCAACAACGGAUCUCUUGGCUCUCGCAUCGAUGAAGAACGCAGCGAAAUGCGAUAAGUAAUGUGAAUUGCAGAAUUCAGUGAAUCAUCGAAUCUUUGAACGCACCUUGCGCUCUUUGGUAUUCCGAAGAGCAUGCCUGUUUGAGUGUCAUGAAAAUAUCAACCUUGACUUGGGUUUAGUGCUCUUGUCUUGGCUUGGAUUUGGCUGUUUGCCGCUCGAAAGAGUCGGCUCAGCUUAAAAGUAUUAGCUGGAUCUGUCUUUGAGACUUGGUUUGACUUGGCGUAAUAAGUUAUUUCGCUGAGGACAUUCUUCGGAUUGGCCGAGUUUCUGGGACGUUUGUUCGCUUUCUAAUACAAGUUCUAGCUUGCUAGACAUGACUUUUUUUAUUAUCUGGCCUUAAAUCAGGUAGGACUACCCGCUGAACUUAAGCAUAUCAAUAAGCGGAGGAA